GACGAACGCUGGCGGCGUGCUUAACACAUGCAAGUCGAACGAUGAAGCCGGAGCUUGCUCUGGUGAAUUAGUGGCGAACGGGUGAGUAACACGUGAGUAACCUGCCCUUGACUCUGGGAUAACUGCGGGAAACUGUAGCUAAUACCGGAUACGACCCUCGGAGGCAUCUCCUGGGGGUGGAAAGAAUUUGGGUCAAGGAUGGACUCGCGGCCUAUCAGCUAGUUGGUGAGGUAAAGGCUCACGAAGGCGACGACGGGUAGCCGGCCUGAGAGGGUGACCGGCCACACUGGGACUGAGACACGGCCCAGACUCCUACGGGAGGCAGCAGUGGGGAAUAUUGCACAAUGGGCGCAAGCCUGAUGCAGCAACGCCGCGUGAGGGAUGACGGCCUUCGGGUUGUAAACCUCUUUUAGCAGGGAAGAAGCGAAAGUGACGGUACCUGCAGAAAAAGCACCGGCUAACUACGUGCCAGCAGCCGCCGUAA
This 484-nucleotide ribosomal RNA is filed under the name uncultured bacterium. Its description in RNAcentral is "partial 16S ribosomal RNA". It matches the Rfam family "Bacterial small subunit ribosomal RNA", at positions 28 to 523 of the family's 1533-position model. The record is from RNAcentral.